UAAUUAAAUCUCAAUCAAAAUCUAGUCAAAUCUUAAUCAAAUUUUUGUCAAAUCUUAAUAAAUCUCUAUAUAAGCUUUAACCAAAUCCUAGACAAAUCUUAAUCAAAUUCUAGUCAAAUCCGAAUCAAAUCCUAAUCAAACGUUAAACAAACUCUAAUCAAAUUGUAAAUAAAUCUUAGUCAAAUCCUAGACAAACCCUAAAUAAGCCUUAAUCAAAUCCUAGACAAAUCCUAACUAAAUCCUAACCAAAUCCUAA
This 256-nucleotide long non-coding RNA is filed under the name Physcomitrium patens. RNAcentral describes it as "long non-coding RNA (PPAT_LNC012603)". The record is from RNAcentral. Lineage: Eukaryota; Viridiplantae; Streptophyta; Bryopsida; Funariales; Funariaceae.